CAAAUACACAAGGAUGCACUCACCUGUCCCAGGUGAUCGCUGCUGUCUCCCACGGGUGAAAUUGCUGGGGCUUUUCAACACAUGUGUUGCUGGCUCGUUCACCAAGGCAGGACGUGCUGUGUAGACAAAACCUCACACGUUAUUGGUGCCAUCAGCUACAAGCAAGCUCUGGACACUGCCUGCAAUGCACUGUGUGCCAAUUGCACAGCUGAUCUGCUGCAAUACCCUGUCCUGUUCCCAUCAGGAGGAGGAUCAGGCAAAGGGAAAGACCUGCCUAAGAAGGAGGUUUCUCAAAAAGCCUAAAUACCUAUUAUAUCCAUUCUCUUUGGAAAAGGUAGUUUUCUAAUGCAGUUGAAAGGAUCAGUCUGGCAUUCAUAGGUAGCCUUUAUUAAAUACAUUGAUGCCCUCCAUGUCCCUUGCUUCCUCUCCACACAGUUCCUCUUUCAUUUUCUAAUAAACUGUUG
RNAcentral lists this long non-coding RNA (464 nucleotides) under Junco hyemalis (dark-eyed junco). Its description in RNAcentral is "lncRNA (ENSJHYG00000009313.1)". The record is from RNAcentral. Lineage: Eukaryota; Metazoa; Chordata; Aves; Passeriformes; Passerellidae.